This 480-nucleotide unclassified non-coding RNA is filed under the name Deinandra halliana. Its description in RNAcentral is "partial external transcribed spacer". The record is from RNAcentral. Lineage: Eukaryota; Viridiplantae; Streptophyta; Magnoliopsida; Asterales; Asteraceae.
GUCUGCCAAGGCUUAUUUGUCUUGGUGGAUUGUGGGUUUCCUGUGUUGCCUACCUAAGCAAUGGUAUUGCCUUGGUUGAUCGUAGUCCCUCUUCUUCUAGUGUCAUACCUAUGACACUGGAUGAACCAUGAAGCGGUUUCUUUGAUCCAUCUUGUCAUCCAAAUGUGUUGAUUUUAUGGCUCAUUGAGCAUCGCUUGGUUUCCUGGAUACAGAACAUGAUUUGAGCAUAUGGGGUCUCAUGGGUUCCUUGUUUUGCUAUCAUUCAGCUUGUGUGUUUCUCUUACAAUGACUGCCUCGCCCGCCUAGGCUCGUACCUGCGUGUGAGGCCAUGUCAAAGGGAAAUGCUCUUCCUGUUUGGUGUGGGCAUGGUGUCUCAUGUGAUCCUUGUUUUGCUCUUAUUUAGCGUUCGCGCUUUCUUCAAAUGACUGCCUCGCUCGCCUAGGCUCGUACCUGCUUGGGAGGCAUGUCAAAGAGGAUUGC